This 491-nucleotide ribosomal RNA is filed under the name uncultured bacterium. RNAcentral describes it as "partial 16S ribosomal RNA". It matches the Rfam family "Bacterial small subunit ribosomal RNA", at positions 29 to 506 of the family's 1533-position model. The record is from RNAcentral.
AUUGAACGCUGGCGGCAUGCUUUACACAUGCAAGUCGAACGGUAACAGGCCUUCGGGUGCUGACGAGUGGCGAACGGGUGAGUAAUGCAUCGGAACGUACCCAGAGGUGGGGGAUAACGCAGCGAAAGCUGUGCUAAUACCGCAUGUGAUCUGAGGAUGAAAGCGGGGGACCGAGCAGCAAUGUUUGGCCUCGCGCCUUUGGAGCGGCCGAUGUCGGAUUAGCUAGUUGGUGGGGUAAAGGCCUACCAAGGCGACGAUCCGUAGCUGGUCUGAGAGGACGGCCCGCCCAACUGGACCUGAGCCACGGCCCAGACUCCUACGGGGGGCAGGAGGGGGGAAUUUUGGACAAUGGGCGCAACCCUGACCCAGCAAGGCCGCGGGCGGGAAGAAGGCCUUCGGGUUGUAAACCGCUUUUGGCAGGAACGAAACGGUGUCCGCUAAUACCGGGCGCUAAUGACGGUACCUGCAAAAAAAGCACCGGCUAACUCCGU